AUGAACGCUGGCCGCGUGCCUCAUCCAUGCAAGUCGAGCGAACAGACGAGGAGCUUGCUCCUCUGACGUUAGCGGCGGACGGGUGAGUAACACGUGGAUAACCUACCUAUAAGACUGGGAUAACUUCGGGAAACCGGAGCUAAUACCGGAUAAUAUAUUGAACCGCAUGGUUCAAUAGUGAAAGACGGUUUUGCUGUCACUUAUAGAUGGAUCCGCGCCGCAUUAGCUAGUUGGUAAGGUAACGGCUUACCAAGGCAACGAUGCGUAGCCGACCUGAGAGGGUGAUCGGCCACACUGGAACUGAGACACGGUCCAGACUCCUACGGGAGGCAGCAGUAGGGAAUCUUCCGCAAUGGGCGAAAGCCUGACGGAGCAACGCCGCGUGAGUGAUGAAGGUCUUCGGAUCGUAAAACUCUGUUAUUAGGGAAGAACAAAUGUGUAAGUAACUAUGCACGUCUUGACGGUACCUAAUCAGAAAGCCACGGCUAACUACGUG
Molecule: ribosomal RNA, 496 nt
Filed under: uncultured bacterium
Lineage: Bacteria
Description: partial 16S ribosomal RNA
Rfam family: Bacterial small subunit ribosomal RNA
Source: RNAcentral